AAAAAAUUAGUUAAAUAAAUAACAUUAGUUUGUCAAACUAAAAUUAUCACUUUAUUGAUAUUUUUUA
This 67-nucleotide transfer RNA is filed under the name Calliphora calliphoroides. RNAcentral describes it as "tRNA-Asp". It matches the Rfam family "tRNA". Rfam says of the family: Transfer RNA (tRNA) molecules are approximately 80 nucleotides in length. Lineage: Eukaryota; Metazoa; Arthropoda; Insecta; Diptera; Calliphoridae. The record is from RNAcentral.